Molecule: non-coding RNA, 83 nt
Organism: Ataeniobius toweri
Lineage: Eukaryota; Metazoa; Chordata; Actinopteri; Cyprinodontiformes; Goodeidae
Source: the annotation of a GenBank genome assembly
UGCACGGUGGCACAGUUGGUAGCACUAUUGCCUUGCAGCACGAAGGUCCUGGGUUCGACUUCCCAGCGGGGGUCUUUCUGCAU